RNAcentral lists this long non-coding RNA (461 nucleotides) under Homo sapiens (human). RNAcentral's name for it is "HSALNT0152122". The record is from RNAcentral. Lineage: Eukaryota; Metazoa; Chordata; Mammalia; Primates; Hominidae.
CUUUUUUCUUUUUUUUGACACAUGGUCUUAAUGUGUCACCCAGGCUGGAGUGCAGCGGCAUAAUCAUGGCUCAUUGCAGCUCGACCUGCCAGGCUCAGGUUAUCCACCUGCCUCGGUCUCCCAAAUGCCAACUGUGGGGGGAAUAAAGUUGCUUAGCAACGUGGAAAUGGGAGAAGCUAUAAGGCUUCCCAGUGUUCACGCAAUCGUCCCUAUUUCUGUGCCUCUUCUACCUUUCAUCCCAGAGGUUAACUGGUGCUGUGAAUUCUGAAAUGUGUCAGACCCACACUGCAGUCUGAAGGCUCUCUCGACCUACGCUUGCUCCAUCUCCCGUUUAUCCUCCAUUUAUGUUUCCUCUAAUAAAUUCUUGCACAUCUAACUUUGUCAUGUCAUCUGCUUCUCUGAGGACUCAAAUUAUCACCUGGGAUUUUGGAAAGAAGUUUUAUUAGAUGUCUAGUCCACUG